This 468-nucleotide ribosomal RNA is filed under the name uncultured bacterium. RNAcentral's name for it is "partial 16S ribosomal RNA". It matches the Rfam family "Bacterial small subunit ribosomal RNA", at positions 28 to 507 of the family's 1533-position model. The record is from RNAcentral.
GACGAACGCUGGCGGCGUGCUUAACACAUGCCAGUCGAACGGAAAGGCCCUGCUUUUGUGGGGCGCUCGAGUGGCGAACGCGUGAGUAACACGCGAGUAACCUGCCCUUGACUUUGGGAUAUCUUCAGGAAACUGGGGCUAUUACCGGAUAGGAGCUCCUGCUGCAUGGUGGGGGUUGGAAAGUUUCGGCGGUUGGGGAUGGAAUCGCGGCUUAUCAGCUUGUUGGUGAGGUAGUGGCUUACCAAGGCUUUGACGGGUAGCCGGCCUGGGAGGGGGACCGGCGACAUUACGACUGAGAUACGGCCCAGACUCCUACGGGACGCAACGGUGGAGAGUAUUACACAGUAGGCGGGAGCCAGAUGCAGCAACGCCGCGUGCGGGAAGACGGGCUUCGAGUUGUGAACCGAUGUCGCCUGUGACGAGGCGUGAGUGACGGUAAUGGGUAAAGAAGCACCGGCUAACUACGUG